RNAcentral lists this long non-coding RNA (2670 nucleotides) under Solanum tuberosum (potato). Its description in RNAcentral is "long non-coding RNA (STUB_LNC001742)". Lineage: Eukaryota; Viridiplantae; Streptophyta; Magnoliopsida; Solanales; Solanaceae. The record is from RNAcentral.
AAUGAUCAAUUCAUCAGUAAAAACAUUACUAAACCUAAAAUGAUGAAUAUUGUGGUACUCCAACAAAGGCAAAUCAAACCGUCCGCCUAUUUGAAGCGUUGAAAGUAUAUUUUUGAUACUUCUAAUUUUCCCAUCAUUGAAAGUAAGUCGUUGAGGAAUAUCGAGAAUUUGAGUAGGAAAGGCCAUGGCUUCUUGAUAUACACCAAGGAGCAACAUAGAAAGGAACAAGGCAAAGAAGGAGGGAGCCAUUAAACUUAAUUUAAUUUGAAGAAUAAAAAGAUCAUAAUAUAUAGUCGAUAAAUUAAUUUUGCAUGGAUGUAUGUGUUAGUGUAGGUCAAUUUAUAGUACUCAUAAGAGAUAGUUAGGUGGCUAUAAAGUCUAAAAAGGGGCUCGACUGUGAAGAGGAAUGUACCAUGAUAAAAAAUUUUACUAAUUUUUGGGUAGAGAUAUAGACGGCAAGCAUAAAGUUUUGUAAAGGCUGUUUUGUCUCCCUGUACAAAAUUCGGUGGCGGAUCUAUGGUAUAUACUUUGCGUGCUUAGGCACCCGUUGCCUUUUGAAACAAAAUAAUAUAUAAAAUCUAUUAAAUCAUUGAAGAAUAUUAACUGAGCAUCCACUCUAUGCACGUAUUUCUAAACUAAAAAUAGUUAAAUAUCCAUGAUAUAAAAUUUCUGAAUCCGCCAUUAUGUACAAUGGUGCAAAAAGGGGCUCGCCUAGGAAGAAGAGUGUACCAUAAGAGAAGUUUUGACUAAUCUUUGGGUAGAGAUAAAGAUGGUCAGCAUUAGAGUUUUAUUGUUAUUGAAAUAUUUAAAGAAAGGUUGUAUUUGUUUUCAUGGACAAUGGUCCAAAAACCCAUGGUCCCCUCCCGAGAUCAUAUAUAGUAGUGUUAUAUUUUUUAAAAAUAACUAAAAUAUAGAUGUGUGAACCCACACUUGAAGUAUAAUGUUGAUUUGUUAGCAUUUUAAUAUUAAUAUUUUAAUAUAUUAAUUUGCUUUAUUUUGGAGUUAGAAGAAUGUUGAUUGUUUCAACAGUAAGUGGGCAGUUUCAUUCCUACCUUUGCAUACGUUUGUUGACUUUCAUUUGCAGAACGUGGGGAGUAAUGGCUUUUGGCCGUUGGUGGCACAUAGUGCUGCUUUACUCCAUUUGGACUUACUGUCUGUUAUGUUACAAUUCCAAUUCUUGAAGUAGCUCUUAGCCGUUGGUGGGCUUUGCCAUUACUUCUCCAUUAUUCUUUCUCCAUUAUACCUUGUAACCUAUAUAACUCCUAAGACCAUUUAUCUUCACUAUUUACCACUCAAUUAUCUAUUUCUAAGAAGAUUUCUCUUAGUAUAAAUAAUGGUGGUCUUCAUUUGGUUUGGGAGACAAUACACACAAGAAAAAAUAUAGAGUGCAUAAAGUUUGUCAAAAAGAGAGUUCUUAUUAGUUGAAGGGAGGUGUUCUUUUUUGUGGAGCUUUGGAAACAACUCUUGUCCAGAGUUGUUGAGUUAUAUAUUGUGAUUAGGCUGUUGUAUCCUGGAGGGGACAAGUCAAGAAGAACUACUGCUGGACCGGUGAAAACAUUUGUUGCAGUGGGCUUGAAUCUCCUUAAAGAGAGCGAGAUAUCCGUGCCUCAGCCUGAAGAGAUUUAUUUCUUCAUUUUUAUUUCAAUUGUAAUCUUGUAUUUUUGUUAUCUUGUAAGUUUUCACUAACAUAUAACAUAAUGCGAUUAUAACUGAGUGCACCUCUCUCCGCAAGGUUAGAAAUUUGAAAUUUAUAUUUAUCUUGUUUUAUUUUUCUUUCUAAAAUUAGAUAACACUUCUUUAAGUAGUAAUUGUUGUUAUAAUUUUAAAAUUUAACGAUUUUCAGUAGUAAAAAUUUAAAGAACUAAUCAAAUGUAUAUCAUAGAUCAACCUUUUUAUAACAGUGCACCCAUCAUCUCAAAAUCUUGGAUACGCCUCUGCCAAAAAAGAGCUCGACUGAGAAGAGGAAUGUACCAUAACAGAAGUUUUGACUAAUUUUUGGAUAGAGAUAAUUAAGGACGCCAAGCAUUAAAACUAUGUUGUUGAAAUAUUAAAAGAAAUGUUGUUUUGUCUCUGUAGACAAUGGUCCAAAAAGGGCCUCACAUGGGAAGAGGAAUGUACCCUGAGAAAAGUUUUGACUAAUCUUUGGGUAGAGAUAAGGAUGAUUAGCAUUUGAGUUUUAUUGUUUCAUGGAAAAGUGUUGUGCUGUACCAAAUACCAAUAAACUGAAAAAAAGAAAAGAAUAAAGAUAAGUCAAAUAAAUUUGGAUUGGCUGUUUUAAAUAAAAAUUUAGAUGGGUUUGUAUUUUAGCUCAUUUAAUUAGUGACAUGAACUAUUACUGUUCGCCAUGUGUACAUGGUGGUUGUUGGGUUAUGAAGGGUGAUUAGGGCGUCAUGCGGAAGCAUACAAUUUGCAAAUCAUAUAGUUGAUAAAUCAGAUAACAAAAACUUAUACUAAACCUAAAAUGACGAAUAUUGUGGUACUCCAACAAAGGCAAAUCAAACCGUCCGCCUAUUUGAAGCGUUGAAAGUAUAUUUUUGAUACUUCUAAUUUUCCCAUCGUUGAAAGUAAGUCGUUGAGGAAUAUCGAGAAUUUGAGUAGGAAAGGCCAUGGCUUCUUGAUAUACACCAAGGAGCAACAUAGAAAGGAACAAAGCAAAGAAGGAGGGAGCCA